UUUUUAUACCCGAAGUUGUUUUAGCUAACCGUAAGGGGGCGAGCAGUGACGGUAUGGAAGAUGAUUGGGGUGAAGUCGUAACAAGGUAGCUGUAGGUGAACCUGCAGAAGGAUCA
Molecule: ribosomal RNA, 115 nt
Filed under: uncultured eukaryote
Lineage: Eukaryota
Description: partial small subunit ribosomal RNA
Rfam family: Bacterial small subunit ribosomal RNA
Source: RNAcentral